Non-coding RNA from Pelobates cultripes (western spadefoot toad), 241 nucleotides. The record is from the annotation of a GenBank genome assembly. NCBI's taxonomy places the organism in Eukaryota, Metazoa, Chordata, Amphibia, Anura, Pelobatidae.
CUUAUCCUUAUUUUCAAGCACCUUGUGGUCAUUCCAACAUACUGGAAGCCACAAGGGCAUUCAAGCAAAUAAAUCACAUUUUUGGUGUUACAACUUAUAAAUUCUUUAAUUUGAUAGGUAGUUCUCGUUCUAUUGGAAGUAAAAUCAGUAAUUUUAGAUGGUAGAGUGGAAUCGGUAGUUUUACACACAAUACACGUUUUACACUUAUAAAAACCUUUAGCUUGAGGAAAAAAAGAUAUUG